AAAAGACCCUAAGAUUGUCACUGAUUAUCAGAAUGUAGCUAUUAAAAAGAAAAUUUGAUGAAGUAAAAAUGUGUUUCAUUUUAAUUAAUUCUGUUUUCCUUUUUUGUGUCCUUUACCAGUUUAUAUGAAGAACAGGUUAGGAAGUGGCAUAGCUAAGGCAGUGCUAAUAAAAUGGUGGGACAUCCUUGCAUCUGAGGGGUGAAAUGUCAGGAGGGAAUUGGAUGCGAGGUACUCUCCUUCAGGAGGUCAGACCAGAGAGUGGCAGUGUGAUGUUCCGUAUUACUGCCGUCUACCUCAACGAUGGACCUGAUGCUGAGAGCGUGUGUGGCUGGUAUUCUGGGAUGCUCCUGAUUUGGUGACCUGAACCACACCAAGGAUAUAUGAUCUAUCCGGUACAUGGUCAGUCCUGGUUUUAACACCUUCCAUCUUGACAGCAGAUGUUACUGGAAUGGGGACACGGCUGCUACCAUGGCAAACCCGAUAAUCCUAUACAAGAGACUGAAUGGUCAGAGGUCAGACAGCAUGUAUGCUGUUCAUGCUGAUGAGCAGAAAGCUGCCGAUGUUGACUUCCAAGGACGCCGGCUGUGAGGGAGGAUCUGUGAUUAGGGAACACACUAGGUGAUGAGCAGGCUGAUGCAAUGUUACCGCUUUUACGGCCUCAAAACAGUAUCCAGCCUCUAUUGGGCUAGAACUUUGCAGUUUGGCAUAUCAGUGUUAUAUUGUCAGUGUAAAGUUUAACAAGAAGUUGUUUGAGAGUUUUCUGGAGUAACUGUCCUGUCCAUGCAGAAAACGUGGCCAACAGUUUACUUUGUUCUAUUUGAUAAAUGAAAUGAGUAUUUUAAUUUUGUCGGGUUAUUGAUAUUUUUGCACUGCUUGAAACAUUAAAAGUGAGUGAACUGUUUGUGCUAUGUGACAGGUCUCUCUGUAGAUGACACAUUCUGUUUUUUCUCCUUUCUUUUUCUGAAUCCAUGAGGAGGAUGAUUGUUCUCCAGCUCAAAUUCCAAACCGCUGUAGAAAAUGGAUGUUAGGAGAAAACUGCAUUUUGCAAAACAGGAAGAGCUUUUUCUAAACGUAUCAGUGUUUAAUUUUGGUUAAAAUAAAUGAUUUAUUAGGAAAAAUUUUGCAUUGACAGGAACUACAUUAUACAAACUGUAUUCUAUGGAAUCAAUUUCAGACAAAUAUUGACCAUAUUUCACAUGGAAUUUCAGACAAGUAUCAGUAUUCUCAAUUACUAAAACAGUGGUGUUUUGCAACUCAGAAUUCAACUCAGAAUAGAGGGUCCACUUUAAACUUUGAAAUAUUUGAAAUGAGGGUACUUUUGUUGUAGAACGUGCCUGGAUUUGACUGGAAGUGAAGUUGUCACAGGGACCAGAGAAGUUACUUUGUUAAAACCAGGACUUUGUAAUUAAAAGUGGAAAUAGAAAGAAAAACACAAGAAUUCAAGAAACUGAGAUUCACAAAACUUGCUGUUACUAGAAGAGUUUCACUCCUGGAGAGUCGACUGUAAUUUCAGUGGAAUUCAGUUUUAAUUGAAAUAAACCAUAAAGAACUAAACUUGUUCUGAUACCCUUCUAAAUGCGUUUAUUUUUUUUCUCAAGUACUUGAGA
Long non-coding RNA from Acanthaster planci (crown-of-thorns starfish), 1607 nucleotides. The record is from RefSeq and is a predicted model, not a curated record. NCBI's taxonomy places the organism in Eukaryota, Metazoa, Echinodermata, Asteroidea, Valvatida, Acanthasteridae.